AAACAUGAACUAAAACAGAAAUUGGAAAUACCUUAGCAUGUGAGCCGAGGCUCAACUCACCUCUCGCAAUAUGAGUUGAUUUCUGAAAGCAGAAAUAAAAACAUCAAAAUACCAAAACCUGUCAACUGGUGGAGCUCAGGUGUCUUUUCCUUUAAUUCAGUACAGCUUUCAUCACAUCUUCUUGCUAUAUUAGAGUACUUGUAUAUGUCAUGCAUAAUGUUCUCAUGAUAUGCACAUGUUUGUCUUAAAUGCCUUUAUGCCUACAUGAUUAUGCUAUGCGCCCUAGGCACGUUUGUCAUAUGUCCUUUUUUCGUCACGAUUUUUUGGAUCUGCGUUCAUUGCUUUGACUCUUGACUUUCUCUUCAGGCUUUGUACCUGCCCCCAAGUUUCACGAGUAAUCUGUGUUUCUCAGAUAUCACUCUUUUGUCCCUAAUUGAACUUUGUCCUUGCUUUGAGGCUCUUGUAUUUGUCAAAUUUUCAUUCAAGUAAUGCUUAACAUUUCUUUUGUUUAGAGUAUGUCAUUUCACUAUUUAUCAUGUAAAUAAACACAUAAUAAGAUGCAUGAAAAUGGUUAGGUAGGGGCAAAAAGGCUACUUCACAUUUAUUUAUUUCAAAUGUAGCAAACAAAGAGAGGUAAUCAAUGAUAGUAAAAAGUGUCAUAAAGAGAAAAGGGAUCGCAUUCAACGGAUACAAAUGCUCUAGAUAUUCAACACAUGAACUCUUCCACAUUCCUUCAUCUAGAAUCUUUUCGAGCAUGGCUUCUUGCGUAGAAGAUUUCGAGCUUUCCAAAAAUGCUUCAAAUACUGUAGUCUCGCUGUUUGACCCACUGUUCAAAAUGCCUUGCUUUUCUAAGCCCAGUGUUUGUUUCAUUAGAACGCCCUUUCGGGUUUUCAUCCUAAUCUUUCGUGUUAAUCAAGACGCCCUUUUCGGGUUUUCACCUUGAUCUCUUCUUUUUUUUUAAGAUGCCCUUUUCGGGUUUUCAUCUUGGUUUCCUUUUUCAAGCAUAAUAUUUCUUUACAGCAUCUGAGUUCACUGGAUUUGGUAACUCCUUCCCAUCCAUCUCGGUGAGAAUCAAAGCUCCACCCGAGAAUGCCUUCUUUACGACGUAUGGACCUUCCCAAUUUGGUUCCCAUUUUCCUCGAAAGUCUUUUUGUAUCGGAAGAAUCUUUCUCAGCACGAGUUUUCCUUCGUGGAAUUCUCUUGGCCGUACUUUCUUAUCAUGGGCUGCGAUCAUUCUCUUCUGGUACAUCUGUCCAUGGCAGAUUGCCUUCAGACGUUUUUCUUCAAUAAGGUUUAACUGGUCAUAUCGAGCUCGAACCCAUUCUGCUUCUUCUAGUUUUGAUUCCAUUAAGACUCGUAGAGAGGGGAUCUCAACUUCGAUAGGUAGCACAGCUUCCAUUCCAUAUACUAGAGAGAAAGAAGUUGCUCCCAUAGAUGUCCGUACAGAUGUGCGAUAUGCAAACAGAGCAAAGGGUAGCUUCUCGUGCCAGUCUUUAUAUGUCUCGGUCAUUUUUCCAAUAAUCCUCUUAAGAUUCUUGUUGGCCGCUUCAACGUCUCCAUUCAUUUUCGGGUGAUAAGGUGAUGAGUUAUGAUGCUUUAUUUAAAAUUGCUCACACACUUCCUUCAUCAUCUUGUUGUUCAGAUUCAUGGCAUUAUCUGAAAUGAUUCUUUCAGGCAAACCAUAUCGACAGAUGAUUUCCUUCUUCAAAAACCUACACACUGCGGUCUUCGUCAGGUUGGCAAACGAAGCGGCUUCUAUCCAUUUUGUGAAGUAAUCAAUAACCACAAAAAUGAAUCGGUGGCCAUUAGAAGCUUUUGGGGAAAUUGGCCCUAUAACAUCCAUGCCCCACAUAGAAAAAGGCCACGGAGAAGUCAUGACAUGAAGGGGCGAAGGGGCUACAUGAAUCCUAUCGUCAUAAAUUUGACAUUUGUGGCAUUUUCUUGAAAAACUAAUGCAGUCGCUUUCUAUCGUCAACCAGUAAUAACUGAGUCUCAUAAUCUUCCUAGCCAUAGUGAAACCAUUGGCAUGUGUCCUAUAAACUUCUUCAUGGACAUCUUCAAGUAUUUUUCUAGCUUCAACAGCAUCCACGCAUCUCAAGAGCACCUGAUCCUUUCCUCUUUUGUACAGGAUGUCCCUAUCAAGAACAAAUCCCGCUGCCAUUCUUCUGAUUGUUCUUUUUUCGUUCUCAUUUGUUUGUUCGGGAUACCUUUGAUUCUUGAUGGAUUUUAAGAUAUCAUGAAACCAUGGCUGCCCAUCCGGCUCUUUCUCAAUGCUGAAACAAUGUGCAGGGACUUUAUAUAUGCUCAUUUGGAGAGGCAUUAUUUCUGUUUCUCUGUUUGCUUUGAACAUUGAAGCUAAAGUGGCCAGGGCAUCAGCCAAUUGGUUUUCUUCCCGUGGAAAGUAAUUAAAAGUUAUUUCUUUGAAUUCUUUAAUCAGUCCUGCCACGAGAUAAUUGUAUUUGACUAAUUUUGAAUCCCUCACUUCCCAAUCUCCACGGAUCUGAUAAAUCACCAAUGCUGAGUCUCCAUAUACCUCUAAAGUUUGGAUGUUUCGUUCAAUUGCUGCACGAAGUCCCAUGAUACAGGCCUCAUAUUCUGCUAUGUUAUUGGUACAGAAGAAAUCCAGCUUGGCAGUGAACUGAUAAUGGUUCCCUUCUAGUGAUACUAAAACUGCUCCAAUCCCAUGCCCCAAGGCAUUCGAUGUGCCAUCAAAGCUCAUCUUCCAUGACUUUUCUUUUGAUGACUCACAUUCUUUUUCUGUAAUGCACAUCAAGUCUUCGUCUGAGAAAUCAAAUCUCAAUGGCUCGUAUUUCUCUGUUGUUCGAGUUGCUAAGAAGUCAGCUAUUGCGCUCCCUUUUAUCGACUUCUGACUUACAUAGGCAAUGUCGUAUUCCGAUAAAAGGAUCUGCCAUCGUGCCAUUCUUCCUGAGAGUGCAGGUGAUUCCAUCAUGUACUUUAUUGGGUCCAACUUUGAAAUUAGCCAUGUCGUAUGAUACAGCAUAUAUUGCCUGAGUCUCUAAGCUACCCAAACCAGAGCGCAACAGUAUUUUUCCAUGGACGAAUACUUUGCCUCAUAUUUCAGUAAACUUUUUGCUAAGGUAGUAGAUCAUCUUUUCUUUCUUUCCUGACUCGUCAUGUUGCCCCAAUACACAACCCAUCGAAUUCUCGAACACAGUCAAAUACAAUAUCAAUGGUCUUCCCGGCAUUGGCGGUACUAGCACUGAAGGACUAGACAAAUACUGUUUUAUCUUGUCAGAAGCCACUUGGCACUCCUCAUUCCAUUCUCCGGGAUUAUGUUUUCAAAGGAGUCGAAAGAUUGGGUCACACUGGUUGGUAAGUUGAGCGAUGAAUCGGGUGAUGUAGUUCAAUCUCCCUAAAAAUCCUAUGACUUCCUUUUGCGUGCGCGGGGGUGAUAACUCUUGAAUGGCUUUUAUUUUAUCUAGGUCAACCUCGAUACCUCUUUCGCUGACAAUGAAGCCUAGCAACUUUCCCGAGGUAACCCUAAAUGUACAUUUGGUCGGAUUGAGCUUUAGCUGGAACUUUUUCAGUCUGUCAAACAACUUCUUCAGGUUCGUUACAUGCUCUUCUUCCCCUCGGGACUUAGCGAUCAUAUCGUCGACGUAGACCUCUAUUUCUUUAUGCAUCAUGUCAUGGAAUAAUGUUACCAUAGCCCUCUGAUACGUUGCCCCAGCAUUCUUUAAUCCGAACGGUAUCACCUUAUAGUAGAAUAUUCCCCACAUUGUUAUGAAAGUAGUUUUCUCCAUAUCCUCGGGGGCCAUCUUGAUCUGAUUAUACCCCGAGAAUCCAUCCAUGAAAGAAAACAAUGAAUGUUUUGCUGUGUUAUCCACCAACGUGUCAAUGUGUGGCAAGGGAAAAUUAUCUUUAAGACUUGCUCGAUUCAGGUCACGAUAGUCCACGCACAUUUGUACUUGCCGUCUUUCUUUGGUACCGGGACUAUGUUAGCCACCCACUCUGGAUAUUUAGAGGCUUGUAGGAAGCCAGCAUCGAAUUGCUUCUUGACUUCCUCUUUUAUUUUCAACAACAUCUCAGGUCUCAUCCGUCUUAGAUUUUGUUGAAUAGGUUUGCAUUCUGGCUUUAAUGGGAGUUUAUGGACUACUACAUCUUCAUCCAAUACUGGCAUGUCUUGAUAUGACCAUGUGAAUACAUCUUUGUACUCGCGGAGCAAAGCAAUCAAAUUAUGCCUGGUAUCCUCUAAAAUAAAGGUGCCAAUCUUCACUUCUUGCUUCUUUUCUUCAAUUCCCAAAACUAUUGUUUCAACAGAUACUUGAUGAGGCAAAAUUUUAUUUAUCCUCUUGCUCCACCAUUCUUAGCAAGUCAGAAGACGAGACAUAGUCUUCAGCAUUUUCUUCAACUUCAAAUUCUCCUAAAAAAAUAGCCUUCUCAAAAUCGAUUUCAGGACUCGUAAUGGGUUUGUUCAUGCCAUUGAUAUCUAAGCACCUAAAAGUUGAAUGGAAAAGGAAACUAUAGAGGGGCAUCCAAGUAUUGGAACCAACAAACGAAAUGUUAUGGCAUGGUAUGAGGCAAAUGCACAGAUAGGCUAUGAAAUGAGAAGAUGAUUAUGAAGUUAGUGAUAAUGCGAAAGAUCGUGACAAAAUGCAUCUUCAUUGAUAUUCAUUUAAAUGAUAAAGAGCGAAUGCAAGCUCUUACAAAAGAAUUCUAUUAUAUCUAAGGACACAAUAGAGGGUUAAUGUUUGAGCAUUACUCUGAAGACUUAUAAACUACAAGAAGGUCCUCAGCAAUCCAAUUGUUCAACAUGAAACCAGGAGGACAAGGGCGUAUCAUUGAAACAUCUCUAAUUGUCUCACUUCCUUUGUCAAUGACAUUUAUACUGACAUUCUGAAGACUCCUUUCGAUUAAUAACAGCGUGCUUUGUAUAUUAUCCUGUCUGGAGUAUAUCAUCCCUGCAGAUGUAAAUGUUUUUGACAAAAGAGGGUACGUUAUGGGCUCCCAUUCUAUUUCUCGGCCCAAAGUUCUCGCAAUCCUUCUCUCCUGAUCCUUCUUCCACUGUUUUCUUCUUUGACGCAUAUCUGGUUGGAACCCUAAACCGUAUCGAGAUUUAUGAUGUACCGACUUUAAGGCCCUGACUAUUCCUUAUAGAUAUCUCCCUAAACCUUUUCUCGCUCGUGCUCCCCUUCCUACAGUCAGUUUGACACCCAUCCCGGUAUUUCUUGACAAUUUUGGCGCGGGAAUUCUGUUUCCCUCAAUGACGAAUGUGGCAUUGACAAAUUCAAGUGAUCGGAAGGAACAUUCUAAAGCAUCUUUACUCACUUCAAUGUAUGGUGCGUCAGUAGAAAUAGAUGCUACAAUAUCUUCUUCUCCCUCGACGGUGACCAAACAGCCAUCCAUGAUGAAUUUCACCUUUUGAUGGAGGGAUGAUGGGACUGCUCCAGCAGAGUGGAUCCAAGGUCUUCCCAAGAGACAAUUGUAUGAUGGUGUAAUGUCCAUGACUUGAAACUUAAUAUCAUAUAUAUAGGGACCCACUUCUAGAGGGAUCUUGAUUUUUCCCAUGACUUCUCGUCUUUUUCCAACGAAUGCCCUUACUGUAGAAUGGCAGGGCUUAGAUAGGACAAAUCCAUCGGAAUCCUGGAAAGUGUAGCCAAAAGUAUGACAUUGAGUGUCGAUCCAUUGUCAAUGAGCACGUUCGGUAUUAUAUAGCCCUUACAACGGGUUGUGAUAUAUAAUGCUUUCACUGAGCCUCUACCAUUGGGCGGUAUUUCAUCAUCACUAAAAGAAAUAAAAUUAUCCGCAUUCAAGUUGUUCACCCACCUAUCAAGCUUCUCAACAGAUAUAUUGUUUACCACGUAAGCUUGAUUCAACACCUUUAACAAGACGUUCCGGUGAGGUUCUGAAUUUAACAGCAGAGAUAAUACCGAAAUUCGUGCUAGCUGCUUACUCAAUUGUUCCACCACGUUGUACUCACUGUGCUUAAUAAAUUUUAAGAAUUCCUGUGAUUUUUCCUCGUCCACAGGCUUUUUUAGCUUCUUGCUCAGGCACAGUUUCAUGCUCAUCUUCGGUCACACGCAUUGGUGCUUUUCCUUUCUGUUUCAGGUCAUUGUUCUUCUUCACUGGUUCGACCUCUUUCGAAUAACAUCUUCCACUACGAGUGAAAUGACCUACUUCCCCAACGCUUCCAGUCAUGGCUUUGGGUUUUUCAUCUUCAGGUGUGACGAUAUUAACGUCAUAUUUCCAUUGUACUACUUUAUUGUCCUUGUAGGGGAAAGGAGAUGGCACCUCGAUUAUCAAUUUUGGUUUCACCGGCUCCUUCUUCGCGUCGUAAUAAAUUAUUAAUGAUCAGUCGGUGCUAUACGGAAAACCUGACGAUUGAUGGUCAGAGGCGCAUAUUUCUCCUCCAUCGGCCUCUCCGCCUUUAUAAAAAAUCCCAAUCUCCUUAUUGUCCAUCAUAUCUUGUAGUAAUCUCCUGAACUCUUGGCAGGAUUGAAUGUCGUGCCCCUCAAUACCAUGAAAUUCAAAAAAACUUUGAUCUUUUGUAUUCCUUCCCUCGAAUACUCUGUUAAGAUGACAGAACAACCCUUUUUCAACUAGCACCUCCCAGAUUUUCUGCAGAGGUGUUCUUAUUUCAGAAACCCAUCUUCUACUUUGUCAUUUGUCCUCCUCUCCCACUGCGCUCACAUUUCCUUCGGCGUGGUUUGGAAAUGGGUUCCCGAAUGUACCGCCGGUGCCAUCAAAUCGCAGAAUACCCGUAUCGAUGAGUCAUUGAACUCUCCUUUUGAAGGCCAGACAGUUUUUUGUAGAGUGCCCCUGGUUCCCGGCAUGGUGUGCACAACUAGCAUUUGGAUCAUACCAUUUCGGGUAUGGAGGUUUUAGGGGUACCAUGUAAUGGGGAGAUAUUAAUUUCUUCUCUAGGAGUUUUGGGUACAGUUCCCCAUACGACAGAGGAAUAGGGGUGAAUUGCGGUCUCUCAGGAUUGGGUCUUGUUGGUCUUGGUUCAUUUCUGGGUUGGCUUUGAGCGGGUAGAGUGUUUUGUGGGAAUGUGGUGACGAGCCUUUGGUUGUUCAUGGCGUAUACGGGGUAGGAAGGAGGUGGUGCUUGGUAGUAAGGGGUCUGAGGAGGAUAAUAAAAAUUCGGAGGAGGGUAAUUUUGAGGUCGGGGUUGGUUUGGAUAUGGAUUAGGGGUAUAACGGCUUCUCAUUUCCACCAUAUGGGCUUCUAGUUCUUUCUUCUUUAUAGGCACUACCCUUCUUGAACUUUCUUGACCUUCCAUUCUACCGCUCUUGACGGUAUUCUCUAUAAGCUCACCGGAUAUUACAAUAUCUGUAAAGUCCUUCGUGGCACUUCCCACUAGCUUGUCAUAAAAUGGUGCUUUUAAAGUGUUGAUAAAGAGAACUGUUAUCUCCGUUUUUGUUAGUGGGGGUUCCACUUGGGCUGAGACAUCCCUCUAUCUCUGCGCAUACUGUCUAAAAGUUUUUGACAGCUGUUUCUCCAUCAUUUACAAAGUCAUCCGGUCUGGCACCAUAUCCGAUACAUGCUUGUACUGCUCACAGAAUGCUGAUGCCAAGUCCUUCCAGGAUCGGAUCUUUUCCCUACUAAGCUGGUUGUACCACCGAAGAGCCGAUCCUAUUAGACUAUUCUAAAAACAAUGUAUGAGUAGCUUGUCUUCAUUCACGUAACCAAUCAUUUUCUGGAAAAACAUGACAAGAUGCACCUUUGGACAUCUCGUGCCAUCGUAUUUUUCGAAAUAAGGCACCUUGAACUUCGGAGGCAGAACCAGAUCGGGCACCAAACUGAGCUCUUUGGCACUUAGUGCAGAGAAGGCUUCAGUACCCUCUAUUGCUUUGAAUCUUUCCUCUAAGCUCCUAUACUUCUCUUGAGCCUCGUGGUCAACGGUUUUCAACUUGGCUAUUUCUGCUGGAUCGUCCAAAUCUGGAACGAGUAGAUCAGCAGGACUAGCCCCCGGGUUUGAUACAAAUACUUCCUGCCCUAUAUGAGCAGGUGGCACCGCCCGUUGCUCCAGGUCUGUGGGUUCCCCUUGGGUGUACCCUCUUUGUGUUGUGUGGGCAUGCGGUGGAGUGAAUCCUGGGGGAUAGAGCGGAUCUUGACUAUGAUUAACUCUUGAUUGAAGUUCCUCGACGUCAGGGCUCUGCAUAGGUCCCUUCCCUUUAACUAAAGCUGACAUCAUCUCCAUCAUCUUGGCCAUUUGGUCUCUUUGUUCAAGCGAUUCUUCUCGAGACCUCACCAUUAAAUCUCUUGUCUCUUGCUGCGACUUGGCCAACUGCUCUUGUAAUUCCCUCUGAACUCUUUCCAUUCUUUCGAUUCUUUCAUUGAAGGCAGCCUCCAUUGCCCUAGCUUGUCGACGCGUUCUAUACGAAUGACGUGGUUCCAAUCUCGUGGUAUUACAACUGCGAAUUGUAUGUUUUAACCUCAACGAAUGAUUAUGGGAUAUGCAAUGAAUGAAUGAAUGAAUGAAUGCAUAAAUGUCAAAUGAAUGCUAGUCAUGAAAGAAAUGCAAGAAGUUGGUGUUGAUUUCAAGAUAGCCCCUAUUUAGGCAUUUAAUUCAUCAAAAGAAAACAUUUUUCCAUUUUCGAUUCAACCAUUACACAAACUUCCUAGCUAUAGAGCUGUAUUUCUUUACUCGUGCUAAGAACUCUGAUAUAUUUGAUUUUCGACUUGGAGGGAAUUGGAAAAUGAGAAUUUCAGCUUCUUCCGAUAAUUGUACCACAUGCAUGGCUACCCCACGAACUUCAUUGAUCAAAUAGCUAAGUUACAUUUCUUUUUCUUGGAGGCCCUCUUCGUAAGCACGAACAUCUCUAUCAUACUGACUAUCUUUUUCUUCCAAAGCCUUCAAGAGAUUAUCUAGUUGUUGUUGACGAUCUUGCAGCAUAUCUUCUAACUCUCGUAUCCUUUAUUUUAGUUCUUGACGUUUAGAUUGACUAGUCAUUACCUCUGCAGAUACAGCUUCAUAUUCGGAGUUCUUCUUCCUCAGUUCUAUCAUAGCCCGCGCAGCCUUUUCCUCCUCUUUCUUCGCUUUUCCUUUCCAAAAUUCCAUCCCGCCUUUAAUGUUGCUUAUUUCUUCUUUCCAUUCUGCAGACGACUUGCCCAGCCCACUAUUUUUUAUUGUGCCUCUUAACUUUUUAUUUUCCAGAUGGAAGUCCCUUAAGUCAUUUCUCAUAACUUCAACUUCUUUUUGCACUUUCUCUGUUCUGGAUCUUUCAAUCUGAACGUCGAUCUUCAAUUGGUAGUUUUCCUCUUGAAGAGCGCUAAGGUCCCGAGACAUCUUGGCCUUUUCUCAUUCAAGUUCUUGUCUUGCCAUUUCUAGCUCAGACGGCAUUUCCUCCGAGAAAGGAUUCUGGACGGUGUAGUUCGUUGACGAGAUUUGCUGACUGUUCACUCAUUGUUUUCUCCAUAUGACGAGAAAGCGAACUCGGAUUGUGCCAAUCCUCUAGUGGCGGGUAUGAAUUGUCGCGAAGAAAAUUGCCUUUGGACUAAUAGCGGGUCAUAUCCAACUCCUCCCCAUAACCCGAGUAGUGGUACCCAAUCUUGAUCUCCGACAUUGUAUGGCAGAACCGAAGGGCGUAUCCACGGUGCUCUCCACGUUAUAUCCUCAGCUCGAAGGUUCUGAAAAACUGAGACCCAAUACUGUUCAGUGACUUCCUUUGGCCAUUCUUUCUUGAGAUAAGCUUCCAACGAGGCAAAUGUUUCUGAAAACAUAUGGAACGGGGUGCGCUCUACUUUCUAAAAGUAACUCAAAAUCCAGACAUUUAGUAACUGCGUGCAUCCGAUAAAGCGUCCUUUCCCCAUUUCCUACAACUAUUUAAGGAUCUAAAGGUCUCGGCUAGGAUAGUCGGGACAGGGUUGAUUCCUUGUUUUAAUUUUUCGAAAAAAUCCACCACCGCAACUUCUAUGUGUCCAAGGACUUUCGGGAAGAUGAUCAAACCGUAAAUGGCCAAAGCGAACAGAUUUACCCUUUUCAACAUGUCAGGAUGGUUCAGAACCAAUUCUCGUAGGGAAGACCAUGGAAUGCAAAUGGUUUCAUUUUUCUUUUUUAUUUGUUUUUCGGCCCAUGCGUCAGUCAUGUCUGUCAAUCUCACUAACUUUUUCUUGAAGGUCAUCGGGUUAGGCUCUUUCACGUAUACUAUAUAGAAUUGCGUACUUUCAACACGAAGUAAAGCAACGUACUCCUCAAUAGUCAGAGUCAUAUCUUCUAGAUUGAAGGUAAAAUAUUGGUAAGCCGGAUCCCAAAAUCUGACCAUGGCUUGGAUCAAUCGUUCGUCUACGUUGACAGCAAUCAAAUUGGCUAUGUCUCCAUAUAUCUCGGUGAAGAUACCCCUAGUGUCCGAGUCUCACUGAUUCCAAACCCAGACUAAAUCUUCAAGGUUAUUCUGGCAAACAUUCACAGUUACGUACUCGGGCAGAUUAGCAAUACAUCCCUCCACUAGACUAUCCCCUUUUUCUUUUUGAGUUUUUUGAGACCAGUCCCGAACCACGGCAUUCUUCUCGGUUGUUUGCAUAAUUGACCCUUCCAUUAGAAACCCGUUUUUUGGCAACCAAUCUCUAGUCAACACCUUCCUAAUAUGAUGCCUAUAAUGCAUGAUGCAAAAUAAGAACACAGACAAAUAUCUUGGUUAGUACAACAAAUAUGAAUUACAAAAAAUCAAAGUAGAAGUGUAAAUGUCAAAGAAAUAAAAGGUAAGAGGUGUUCCUCCCAUGUACUUAUUUUGGUGACUAUUAAUAGACGGAGGCUCGGCAUGGCUCUAGUUAGGUGGCUCGUAUGGUUCACUAUAUGUAGUUUCGGUUCUAGAUAGGUACUCAAAUUGUCCGUACUGUCAUCUACUAAGAUUAGUACGAAACCUCGGUCGUAGCCCAUCACAGGCUCACGAGUUCAAUUCGAGGGAUUACAUUUACUUAUGCCUAUGCGAGGGACAAGUUAACUCACGAAAGCAUAAGUCAUAUGUAACCCGAAAGUAUUCACUAGCCUAUGCGGAGGGACGAGUUAACUCACGAAGGCCUAGCGUUUACUUUCACUUAAACGGACGGAGCCCGGGUAGAGAGCUCAUGUUAUGCAAAAUGCAAGUGCACGGUGUGUGGGGGAGAAACUCACAAACCUUUACGUUUUAUUUAAAAACUAAACUAAAACUAAAAUCAUAAGAAUUUAAAGCUUUAAAACAACUGGACAAAACAAGUUAGAAGAAUAUAUACAACACAAUGCAAAUGCAUGAUUUUUCAAAAACACAAUUUUAGGAUCACGACUAAAUAUUAAUUUGAACAAGGAAUUUUGAAAAUUUUGACAACACACGUUUAAUUCGACUUGACUCUCAAAAACUAGUCCCAAGUGGAGUCGCCAGCUGUAGCGACGUAAAAAUUUUUGGUUUGGGGUCGCUAAUUGUGGCGAUCUAUUGAAAACUUGGAAACUGAAAUUUUAUUUUAGAAUAAACAAGGAGUCGCCACCGAUCCCUUUUUUAUAGGUGUGAUCGGACACCUAUUAGAUCUAUUUUUUAAACAAAAGAAGGCUGAGUUUAGGUCUACGUUAAAAUCCAGAGAAAAAUUAGGGUUCGGGAGUCGAUUACGCGCGAGGAAUGUAUUAGCACCCUCGCGACGCCCAAAAUUGGUAUCGUAUAAACAUGUGUUGUCUUGAUUUUCAAAAAUACGAAUUCAAUGCAACAUUUACUCGUGAUCCGAUUGCAAAGACGAGAAGUUUUAGUUUUAGUUUUAGUUUUUUUAGUUUUUGAGAAGGGUAUACCAUUUUAACACGAGCCGAUAAAUUUCAUCCAACAUAGCGAUGAAACUUACGACUUAAUGUUAAAUCGAUACAUUGCCUUGAUUAUUGAAAUUUAUUAAAACAUGGGAAAGAUAUUUAUAUAGUGAGAAUUUUAAGUAAAUCAAUGAUGCAAAUAAUGACAUUAUUAAUGAAAAAUAUUAACAUGAACACUAGAGCAUUAGAAAAACAAUAACAAUGAUAUUUACAAAAGAAAUAAUAAUACAAAAAAAAAUAAGUCAUGAAUAAAUAUAAAAUACACUUAGUAAUAAUAAUAUAAGAUAAUAUGUACAUAAGAUAAUAUGCAAAAAUAUAAUACAUGACAUAUAUACAUGACGUAUGAAAGUAUAAUGCCUAAAAGAUAUAUGUGUAAUAAUACUAAAUAUAUAUAUACUAGAUACAUGUACACAUAGUAUAAAUGAACAUGUGCAAUAUAUAUUAGGAACAAUAUAGACAAGGAAAAUACAUUUAUAUACUAAUAAUAAUAAAAGAUGUAUGUACACCAAAUAAUAAUAUAUAAGUGGCAAUAAUGAAAAUAAUGAGUAUAAAAAUGAAUAAUAUGACAUACGAAAAUAACACAAAUAAAAGAGUAUAUAUAUAUGUAUAAUAAAACAUGGGUACUAAUUAUGUAAUAAAAUAUAAUAAUAUAUAUAUAGUAUGGUAUUAAAACAUAGAUAUAAAAACAUAAUACUAAAAUAUACAUAUAAUAUAUAAAGGUAUAUAUAUAGUAAAGUAUUAAAAAUUUUGUGCAAGAUAUAUAUAUAUAAUAUGAUGUUAAGAGUAUACAUAUAAAAUAUAAUGUUAAAAGUAUUUAUGCAUAGUGUAAAAAUGUAUAUAUAAUAUGACAUUAAAAUAUUUACCUAACAUAUAUGUAUAUUGGAGAUAAUGAUGUCAAAGAAAACUAUUAUAAUAUUGCAUGUAUAUAUAUCUAUAUGUAUAUUUAAGGACAUAUAAUGAGACACAUAUUAAAGUUAAUGAUAAUCAACAAUGAUGACAUAAAAACAUAUACAUAUAUGACAAGGCAUUCACUAUGUUAACAAUUAUAAUAGUAACGAUAUUAAAAUACAAUAUAAUAUAACAAAAAUACAUCACAUAUAUAAAUCUAUGUACAUAAAUGAAAGUAUACACUAUUAUAAUAAUAUAACAAUAUUAUUAAAAUACCAAAAACAAAUAUAAUAAAGAUAUUGGAAUAAAAAUAAACCUAUACGUGUAAAUAUAUACAUAUAUACUAGAACAAAUAUAUAUAAUAAUAAUAAAUAUAACAACAAUAUUGAAAAUACAUAUAUAUAUAACAUAAUAUUUAAAAGACAUAUAAUAAAUACAUUUAACAUAACAAAUAUAAAUAUUAUAACAAAUAAAAUACAGAAAAUGAAAACAAGUAAAUUAAAAAUAAAGCAGUAAAUUAACCAAAGGACUAAAUUGAACUUAAAACAACACUUUUGGGGCGAAAUUAGAAAUAAAAUAGCAGGGAAUGACCAAAAUGCCACGCGCGCAUAACUUAGGAGGGUUAAAACAGCAAAUAUUCCCUUUCACCAAAACGCUGUGCAGCGCGGAGGGACUAGAUCGCAAAUCAGAUUAAAUUUUAGGGCCGAUUUAUAAAUAAAUAUAAACCUAAUUUAAAACAAAAAAAUGCGGAAGGACCAAUUGCACAAAUAUCCCAUUGAGUUAAAAACACGCGGAUCCUGAAGCGGGUUCGGGGCGAAUCGGGUCGGGCCAAGUAAAACGACGUCGUUUUUUAGUCUAAGUUUGGACACCAAAACAGUGCCGUUUUGGUAGGCUAUAAAUAGCCUAAAAAUCUGGAAAAAAAACAUUUGGAGAGGGGAAAGAAAAAAAUGAGGGAGACGGGAGCACGGGGCGAUUUUCGAUGGGGGAAGGUGGCACCGGCUGAUCGUCGGCCUGUCGCCGGCACCGGCGCCGACCACCGUACACGGUGGCCGAAAAGGUAAUUUUUUUAUAUAUUUUUUUGUUUUUAGUUAAAUAAUGUUUUAUAUAUAUAUGUAUAUAGAUGUAUUUGAAUAAAAAAGAAAAAGAAAAGAAAAGAAACGGAUUCGAUGAAAAAAAAUAACCUUUUUGCCUUCAAUAUUGGUUAUGGUAUUCGGAUCUCUUUGCUGUUUGAAUCACGAUUUUUGUAUGUUUGUAUUGAAAACUAUUGUUGUAUUUGAAACUCUUUUUAUUUUCUGUUGAUGUUGUUUUUUUUUUCAAAAGUCCCUUUUUUACCAAUUUUCAUUUGGCUUUAUAGCCUCUUUAGUUACAUUAUUUUCUUCCAUUUUCUGCUGCUGUUGUGUGUCUCUUUGGUUUUGCAGGUAUGGCCGGCGUUGGUUGUAGCACCCCAAACCUGGCCCAGACGUUAUGGCCGAAUCCGACACGCCACAUCGAAGCGUUCAAAACAUUUUAUAUUAUUGGUCCAGAAAAACUUACUUAGUGUUUUAAAAGAUGAUUUCAUUAUAGGUUAAAGUGAAUGGAAGCUGUGCACCAGGUAGGAAACCGGAAAAGAGGUGGUGAGUCCAUCGGACUGCUUAAGUACCAAGCUCCCUUCGGAUCCAAUCCUAGACAUGCAUACCGCCAUUGCCACACCUUAACGUCAUGGAUAUUUCUAGGAAACCGAUUUGAUUAAGUCAUUUUUAGGAAAAGUGAUUAAUUUUGGAAAAUACUUUCAUUGCGGAAGCUUUAUUUGUUGUCGUGUUAUUUUGAAAUCAAUUGUUGUUUUUGAAAACGCGCCCUAAAGCUAUCCAAUUUCAACAGUUAAAAUAAGUAAUACCUAUCUUAGUAUUACAUAUUAAAACCAUCAAAAAUAAUUAAGCGACCUUAUUACAUUUAAAAACCCAAAACUUCAAACGUAAAUAAAAGGAUGUCCAGUUCACCAGAAGAAAAUCAAACUUUCAGAACGGGUGGCCACUCCGAAUUCCCUCACAGCUCCAAGCCCACUAUGGUUGGGGAUUUUCUGCGUGGAUGAAAAUAAAAGGGGUGAGUUUGGGGAAACUCAGUGUGUAAGGAAAACCCAUUCAAAGCCCAAGUCAGCUCAAGCCUAUUGGGCCUAAGCCCAUUCAGGUAACAGUGAUACUGGGCUAGAGCCCUUUUCAGAUUACAAUAAACUAGGCCUUAGCCCCUUAUUCAGAUAACAGUAUGGCCCAUAGACCCAUUUCAAAAUACAUGCAACAUCAGUAAACAUAUGCAAGCCCAUUUGGGGAGACUACUCAACCCACCAACCACUACACUCCACCCGUACCAGCAAUACACUCCAUGUGGGGAUAGCUCAACCCACCCAGCCCAACACUCCACAGUUGCAGCAUUGCUGCUCAGUUAACAGUAAAUUGAGGCAAAGCCUCCAGUACAUGGACAAGCCACUUUCAAUACUUCCUCCGUCAAUAUCUCAAUCCCAUGCAUCAGAUAAUAACAACAUGACAUGCAGUAAAUAACAACAGUCAAACAUGCAUUUAAGUCAAUUUAACCCUAGGGGUAUUUCGGUAAUUUAUCUCCUAGGGGUAAAACUGUAAAUUUUCCACUUUUAAAGGUAUUUCAGUAAUUUAUCUAUUUUAGGGUUUUUCAUGCAUAUUCCUACUUUUCACGUACUAAUAGAAUCACUACCGAGGGUUCUUACCGAAUUGGGCCCGUUGGCCCAUCAUUCCAAUUUUGGCCCAUUAAGCCCAAAAAUAUCGAGGGCACAGAAAUCAUGCACUUUGCAGUCCAAACAUUGCAGCUUACCAAAAACAUUAAUCGAUUUACCUCACGACCAUUCGCACACUCGCAAAUCUACAAAAUACCGGUUUUCGGCAUUUCGGCUUUUCGACUUUUGCCAAUCUAGACUAAGAAAGAGGGUGUUAGUUACACACCUAUUUGCAACGAUAUGCUAACGAGAUCCACACACGAACCGCCUACAAUUGGAUUACUAACACGUUAAUCUAACUAUUCAAAUACAAACUACGUAUUAACCCCUUACAAUAUUCGGCCAACCACACCUAUAGAUCAUAGUAAGCUUAUAAGAAAACAAUAAGCAACUCAUUAACAAAUUUUUGUGAAUGUUUACCACAUAAUCAUAAUUUCACUGCAAGCUGUCUUCCUGAGCGAUAGUCACUAAAUCAUUUAUAACUGGAGCUACGAAACUCCAAAUCAAGUGCCGUUAAUUUUUCCUAAAAAUAGACUCAAAUAUCUUAUAUCCAUAAAAUUUUUAGAAUUUUUGGUUUGGCCAAUCAAUACCAGAUUUUUCUCAAAGUUUCUCAUGUUUCACUGUUUGACUAAUCUGACCACUCUUCAUUACGAAUCAAAUUUCUCAUUGUACAGAAUUCAAAAUAUGUUCUCGUUUAUUCCAUUUGAAACUAGACUCAUUAAGAUUUAAUUACAUAAUCUAUUCAACUUCUAAUUCAUCUCCCGCAAUUUAUGGUGAUUUUCCAAAGUCACGUUACUGCUGCUGUCCCAAGCAGAUUUAUUACCAAAUCACUCUUUCACACAUAACUUGCAUGCAUGUUUUUUUUUUAAAACAUGUAUAUCUCCAAUCAAUCAUCACAUAUCUAUGAUUUUAAUUAAGUAUAAUCUCCAUUUCAUCAUUUUAAAGCACAACAUAUUAGCCGAUUUUUCCCCUUAGCAUCUAAGCACAUGCAUGCUCAUUUGUUUGGCUCAACUUCACUUAUCUUCCAUUUUUCAUCAAAAGAACAUGAAACAACAACCAUUUCCUUCAUUUUAAUUCAUGACCAAAUGCUCACAACACAACCAAAAACCAAAAUAUGCUUCAAGAGUUAAGGUAGAAUCAAGAAGAACUCAUGAACAUCAAGAUAGAAGCAAACUACCAUGAACUUACCUUCAAUUUUCUUCCCCAAGUGACCAAACAUUUAAGAGCUUUCUCCUCUCCUUUCUCUUCUCUAACUUUAGGCUAUGAUGAACAAAGAUGGACAAAACUUUGUUCUUUUCACCCCUUUUUCUUUUAAUAAAACUUCAUAGUUCAUCCAUUUAAUUCUUUAAUACAAAAGACAUGAAAUUCUUAUCAUGAAACAUUUACCUAACCCAUUAUCAUAAAACAUUUACCUAACCUUUUAUCAAUUUGUAUCAAUUUGUACCAUAAAUUAUGGAUAUCAAGUGCACAUUUUGUCUACAACAACAUGAUGGCUGGCCACUUCAUGUAAAAUGGGAGGUUUGUCAUGCAAAUCCUCCUAUUUUGCACUCCUAUUUAUUUGGCCACUUCAAUUUAGCCUAUAGCAUUUUCAAACAUUUUCACAUAGGUUCUAUUUCAUAAUUUCACCCCCUUUUUCUUAUGGAACAAAAAUUAACUAAAAUUGUCGGGUUCUAUCUUAAGUUUGGGCUUUCUAGAGGCCCACUAACAUAAUUAAACCUAUGCCAACAUUCACAUGAUUCCCAAAAAUUGGGGCGUAACAACUCUACCCUCCUUAAAGAAAUUUCGUCCUCGAAAUUUACCUAAUCUAAACAGAUGAGGGUAUUGCUGUUGCAUCGUCUCUUCUGGCUCCCAAACUCAGAAGUUUCCCCUUCCUUAACUUGUUGAAAAUGAGCGAUCAAAGACUCAUCAUUCAACUAUUUUUCCUUAAUCUGAUCCACCCAGGUUGGCCUUACUUGCAAUUCAGCCAACAAACUGCCAUCAUCAUACAGACUCAAACGAGCAAACAUUGCUCUCAGAUCAGAUACGGUUCUACGACUUAAAACAUCGGCUACCACAUUAGCCUUGCCUGGGUGAUACUCGAUCGAACAGUCAUAAUCCUUAAGCAACUCAAUCCAUCUCCUUUGCCUAAGGUUUAGCUCCUUCUGAGUCAACAAAUACUUAAGACUCUUAUGGUCAGUGUAUAUAAUACACCUUUCUCCGUACAAGUAAUGUCUCCAAAUCUUAAGCGCAAAUAUCACUGCUGCCAACUCUAAAUCAUGAGUCAAAUAGUUUCCCUCAUGAGGCUUAAGCUAUCGUGAUGCAUAUGCAACCACCUUACCCUCUUGCAUUAACACGCAGCCCAAACCCACGUGUGAUGCAUCACUGUACACACUAAAAUCCUUCCCAGACUCCGGCUGAAUUAACACAGGUGCUUCAGUCAGAACUUUCUUCAACUUCUCAAAAGUUUCCUGCUGCUUCUUAGUCUAUACAAACGGUACUCCUUUCCUUAUGAGUUUUUCAGAGGUGCUGCCAUCACAGAAAAACCUUCCACAAACCUUCUGUAGUAUCCUGCCAGUCCUAGGAAACUCCGUAUUUCCGACACUGACCUAGGCGGCUUCCACUCUAAAAUUGCUUCAAUCUUUUGAGGGUCCACCUUAAUCCCUUCGGCAAAGACCACAUAUCCUAAGAAGGUUACCUCCCUCAACCAAAAUUCAAACUUGCUGAACUUCGCAAAGAGUUCCUUCUCCCUUAAUACUUACAGCACUAUACGGAGAUGCUCAUCAUGUUUCAUUUUAGUUUCAGAAUAUACCAGGAUAUCGUCAAUAAAGACGACUACGAACUGAUCCAAAAAUGGUUGGAACACACGAUUCAUUGGAUCCAUAAAUGCUGCAGGAGCGUUCGUUAGUCCAAAUGGCAUAACCAGAAACUCGUAAUGACCAUACCGAGUCCUGAAUGUCGUCUUUUGGAUAUCUGCCUCCUUGACCCUUAACUGAUGAUAUCCAGAUCGAAGGUCGAUCUUGGAAAAUACAGAAGCUCAUCUAAGCUGGUCGAAUAGAUCAUCAAUCCUUGGCAGUGGAUACUUAUUCUUAAUCGUAAGUUUGUUCAACUGGCGAUAAUCAAUGCACAUCGGCAUCGUACCAUCCUUCUUUUUCACGAAUAGCACCGGUGCUCCCCAUGGAGACACGCUUGGCCUAAUGAAGCCCCUAUCCAACAACUCUUGAAUUUGAGCCUUUAACUCCACUAACUCCUUUGGUGCCAUCCUAUACGGUGCGAUGGACACAGGCGCCGUUCCAGGCAACAAAUCUAUUCCAAACUUAACUUAUCGGUUCGGAGGCAAUCCUGGAAGCUCCUCCGGAAAAACAUCUUGGAACUCCUUUACGGUCCUAACCUUAUCCACUGUCAGUCCCUCCUCUUCCGACUGACUUACAAAUACCAAUUAGGCCUCACAACCUUUUUGAAUCCACUUUUUGGCUCUUAAAGCCGACACCACAUUGGACAAAUAAUCCCUUCGCUCACCUAUCACUAUAACCUCCUCAUCCUUUGUGGUCCUUAACACCAUUCGUUUAGCAGCACAAUCUAGAGUCACUUUAUGCUUAACAAGCCAGUCCAUUCCCAAAAUGAGAUCAAACUCUCCGAACGGUAACUCCAUCAAAUCUCCAGGGAAAAUCUUACCUUGAGUUUCUAAGGGUACAUCCCUAUACAGUUUGUCUACCCUAACUGAGUGACCCAAAGGACUUAGUACAGAUACCCCACUCAAAAUCUCCUCAAAGCAGUCUAAGUUGUCCAUAAUCCGUUCUGUGGCCUCUAACCAAUAUUCUGCCACAUUCGGGGCUAUACCAGACACGCCCCUAAAGAUCUCCGCUCCGUUAGCCCAGAGUCGUUCAGAAAUAGAUCCCCGAAUUCCGUUGCUCGUACUUGCUCCGGCAACCCUUUCCAGAACACGAAGCAUUGCCUGUGAUAGGGCAUCAUUCCCAGCACCGCAGUCAUGAGACUCUACUUCUGUUGCUGGUGGUACCGGUGUAUCCACCGCCGGCAUAUGUCUCGAAGACGAAGAUCUCGCUCGAGCACUUCCUCGGCUCCAUCCACGGCCACUUGUACUCAUAUCGUAUUAUCUUGAUUACAAAUUUUUAUGCAUCAAUUAAUAUUCCAGUGUUUAUUACAGAUGUUUUAUGAAUCAGAUAGAUAUUCAGAGUUUGUUUUCGCAGAAUCGAAGUCUAGCUACAGUUUCAGUCUCUUAUCAAAUUUUUCUAUGGUUUCAGUAUCAUCCUAUCUAGAGUAUCCUAGCAGGAUUUUAGUAUAGACAGAUAAUUCAGGAAAAUAUUCAGAAAAAUUCAGAAUACUUACAGACUUGAGCCGGAGAUUCGGAAUGCCACCUUCUAAAGAUCUAAAUUUUGAAAAUCAAGUUUUUCGCAUUCUUUAUAAAAUUUUCGCUUUCAAGAAUCUUUGUUUUUGUAAACCCAUUCCACAGCCGAGUUGUUGCAACCUAGGCUCUGAUACCACUAAAUGUAGCACCCCAAACCUGGCCCAGACAUUAUGGCCGGAUCCGACACGCCACAUCGAAGCGUUCAAAAUAUUUUAUAUUAUUGGUCCAGAAAAACUUAGUAUUUUAAAAGAUAAUUUCAUUAUAGGUUAAAGUGAAUGGAAGCUGUGCACCAGGUAGGAAACCGGAAAAGAGGUGGUGAGUCCAUCGGACUGCUUAAGUACCAAGCUCCCUUCGGAUCCAAUCCUAGACAUGCAGACCGCCAUUGCCACACCUUAACGUCAUGGAUAUUUCUAGGAAACCGAUUUGAUUAAGUCAUUUUUAGGAAAAGUGAUUAAUUUUGGAAAAUACUUUCAUUGCGGAAGCUUUAUUUGUUGUCGUGUUAUUUUGAAAUCAAUUGUUGUUUUUGAAAAUGCGCCCUAAAGCUAUCCAAUUUCAACAGUUAAAAUAAGUAAUACCUAUCUUAGUAAUACAUAUUAAAACCAUCAAAAAUAAUUAAGCGGCCUUAUUACAUUUAAAAACCCAAAACUUCAAACGUAAAUAAAAGGAUGUCCAGUUCACUAGAAGAAAAUCAAACUUUCAGAACGGGUGGCCACUCCGAAUUCCCUCACAGCUCCAAGUCCACUAUGGUUGGGGAUUUUCUGCAUGGAUGAAAAUAAAAGGGGUGAUUUUGGGGAAACUCAGUGUGUAAGGAAAACUCAUUCAAAGCCCAAGUUAGCUCAAGCCUAUUGGGCCUAAGCCCAUUCAGGUAACAGUGAUACUGGGCCAGAGCCCUUUUCAGAUUACAAUAAACUGGGCCUUAGCCCCUUAUUCAGAUAACAGUAUGGCCCAUAGGCCCAUUUCAAAAUACAUGCAACAUCAGUAAACAUAUGCAAGCCCAUUUGGGGAGACUACUCAACCCACCAACCACUACACUCCACCCGUACCAGCCAUACACUCUAUGUGGGGAUAGCUCAACCCACCCAGCCCAACACUCCACAGUUGCAGCAUUGCUGCUCAGUUAACAGUAAAUUGAGGCAAAGCCUCCAGUACGUGGACAAGCCACUUUCAGUACUUCCUCCGUCAAUAUCCCAAUCCCAUGCAUCAGAUAAUAACAACAUGGCAUGCAGUAAAUAACAACAGUCAAACAUGCAUUUAAGUCAAUUUAACCCUAAGGGUAUUUCGGUAAUUUAUCUCCUAAGGGUAAAACUGUAAAUUUUCCACUUUUAAAGGUAUUUCAGUAAUUUAUCUAUUUUAGGGUUUUUCAUGCAUAUUCCUACUUUUCACGUACUAACAGAAUCACUACCGAGGGUUCUUACCGAAUUGGGCCCGUUGGCCCAUCAUUCCAAUUUUGGCCCAUUAAGCCCAAAAAUAUCGAGGGCACAGAAAUCAUGCACUUUGCAGUUCAAACAUUGCAGCUUACCAAAAACAUUAAUCGAUUUACCUCACGAGCAUUCGUACACUCGCAAAUCUACAAAAUAUCGGUUUUCAGCAUUUCGGCUUUUCGACUUUUACCAAUCUAGACUAAGAAAGAGGGUGUUAGUUACACACCUGUUUGCGACGAUAUGCUGACGAGAUCCACACACGAACCGCCUACAAUUGGAUUACUAACACGUUAAUCUAACUAUUCAAAUACAAACUACGUAUUAACCCCUUACAAUAUUCGGCCAACCACACCUACAGAUCAUAGUAAGCUUAUAAGAAAACAAUAAGCAACUCAUUAACAAUUUUUUGUCAAUGUUUACCACAUAAUCAUAAUUUCACUGCAAGUUGUCUUCCUGAGCGACAGUCACUAAAUCAUUUAUAACUGGAGCUACGAAACUCCAAAUCAAGUGCCGUUAAUUUUUCCUGAAAAUAGACUCAUAUAUCUUCUAUCCAUAAAAUUUUCAGAAUUUUUGGUUUGGCCAAUCAAUACCAGAGUUUUCUCAAAGUUUCCCAUGUUUCACUGUUUGACUAAUCUGACCACUCUUCAUUACGAAUCAAAUUUCUCAUUGUACAGAAUUCAAAAUAUGUUCUCGUUUAUUCCAUUUGAAACUAGACUCAUUAAGAUUUAAUUACAUAAUUUAUUCAGCUUCUAAUUCAUCUCCCACAAUUUAUGGUGAUUUUCCAAAGUCACGUUACUGCUGCUGUCCCAAGCAGAUUUAUUACCAAAUCACUCUUUCACACAUAACUUGCAUGCAUGUUUUUUUUUAAACAUGUAUAUCUCCAAUCAAUCAUCACAUAUCUAUUAUUUUACUUAAGUAUAAUCUCCAUUUCAUCAUUUUAAAGCAUAACAUAUUAGCCAAUUUUUCCCCUUAGCAUCUAAGCACAUGCAUGCUCAUUUGUUUGGCUCAACUUCACUUAUCUUCCAUUUUUCAUCAAAAGAACAUGAAACAACAACCAUUUCCUUCAUUUUAAUUCAUGACCAAAUGCUCACAACACAACCAAAAACCAAAAUAUGCUUCAAGAGUUAAGGUAGAAUCAAGAAGAACUCAUGAACAUCAAGAUAGAAGCAAACUACCAUGAACUUACCUUCAAUUUUCUUCCCCAAGUGACCAAACAUUUAAGAGCUUUCUCCUCUCCUUUCUCUUCUCUAACUUUAGGCUAUGAUGAACAAAGAUGGACAAAACUUUGUUCUUUUCACCCCUUUUUCUUUUAAUAAAACUUCAUAUUUCAUCCAUUUAAUUCUUUAAUACAAAAGACAUGAAAUUCUUAUCAUGAAACAUUUACCUAACCCAUUAUCAUGAAACAUUUACCUAACCUUUUAUCAAUUUGUAUCAAUUUGUACCAUAAAUUAUGGAUAUCAAGUGCACAUUUUGUCUACAACAACAUGAUGGCUGGCCACUUCAUGUAAAAUGGGAGGUUUGUCAUGCAAAUCCUCCUAUUUUGCACUCCUAUUUAUUUGGCCACUUCAAUUUAGCCUAUAGCAUUUUCAAACAUUUUCACAUAGGUUCUAUUUCAUAAUUUCACCCCCUUUUUCUUAUGGAACAAAAAUUAACUAAAAUUGUCGGGUUCUAUCUUAAGUUUGGGCUUUCUAGAGGCCCACUAACAUAAUUAAACCUAUGCCAACAUUCACAGGAUUCCCAAAAAUUAGGGCGUUACAUUGGUGGUGGCAGAGGCCGAAUGGGACGGGGUUAGGUGGGGUAGGUUCGGCGCCGAAAGGGAAUAAGGGUUAAGGUUGUUUUGUUUUUUCUGAAAAUGUUGGGAAUGGGCUAGGGUUUUUUUGGGUUAAGGUGUAUUUGGGUUUUGGGUAGGCUUAAUGGUUAAGUGAGUUUAAUGGGUUAGGGAUAUUGGGCUCCGGGUAAUUGGUUGGGUAUUUGGGGUUUAAUGGGUUUCUGUAAUUGGGCUCAAAAAUUAGCCUGUAACAGACAUAUUUAGAUAAUCAUAAUAAUUAGAUUUAAGUGUAAUUGAAGUAUUCAAGUACUUACUUCAAUUCUUAGGGAGGAGUUGAGAAUUGGAAACUAUGCAAGUAAUUAGUGUUGAUGACUUUUAAAUUUCUUUUUAUUAUUUCUUUUUAAUUUUUUUAAUUAUACAAUUAUGUAAUUAGAAAUAUAACUUAAAAAUUAAAAUGAUAAUGAAUUAAUAUUGUUUUGUAAUUAUAGAAAAGUAAUUAGUAUCCAAAUAAUUACAUAUUUUUAUCAUUAUUAUGUUAACUCUAUUUCUUUUCUUAAUUUUUUCAUCAUCUUUCACCUUUAAAAAAUGAUAAGAUAUCACCCAAAAUGAGGUUGAGACAAGUAGGACCCAAAUCCAAUAAAUGAGAGAAAACAUGUAGAAAACGUGAUUCAAACAAUUGAGUCUAUGUUAUGUUUUCAUUAUAAAUUAAUGCGUAGAAAUCCUCUUGUGUUUCUCAACUCAUCUCUUUGCUUUCUCUCGUGACUCUUUGUUCGUCAAUUUUUCCUAAUUAUGGUGUGAACUAGAAUUUUUUUGCACUCCUCUUCAAAAUUUCUGUUUAGAUUUUUAAAGUUUGAAUUCCAAUUUUUAUGUACCAUUCUACCAGUCAUUAUUAAGUAUAUAAUAAUAUAAAUUAUGUUAAAUAUGGUUUUUGUUAUUAUUAAAAAAUAAAAUAAAAAAAAUUAAUUAUAAUUUGAGUGUGAAAGCAUUAGUAGAGUUAUAGCUCUACUUGUAAGGUUAAAUUUUGCUAUCAGUUUUUGUACUUUAUAAAAUUUAAAAUUUUGGUCUUGACCUUAAUAGUAGUAGUUAAAUUUAUUUAGUUAAAUUCAAUUAUUAAUUUUGUACUAUGUGUUCAAUUAUAGAUUUAGUCUAUUUUUUCCAAUUAGAUCAUUUUAAGUCCCUAAACCUUUUAAAUUUUGAAAUCUCAGUUUUAACACAAAAGACAAUUGAUAAUCUAUUAAUUGUAUUUUUAGUGAGUAAUAUGUAAAUAGAAUAAACUUAUAUGACCUUAAAGAUAUGAUAAUAUAUUUGACGCAUCAAAUUUUGAAAAAAUCGAAACAUUACUUAAUGAGUUUAAUAAUUAUUAUUUGGUAAUGAUUGAAAUUUUAAAUUUUAAAAAGUACAAGAACUAAAAAUGACCAAAUAAAAGUACAAAGAUUAAAUUAACAGCUUUUUGCUAAAUAUAGGGACUAAUAGAAAAAUUUAACCUUACUUGUAAUGUAGUAGUAUGGAAGCCCUUGUACUAAGAAUCAAAUUACAUUUUGCCCUCUCUAAUAAAAAAAUAGACAAAUUAGUCCCUGUAUAUUAUGUAAAAGAGCAAAUUAGUCAUUCAUGUUAAAAAUUUUGUCUUUUUUAUUGUUAAAAACUGAUGUGGUUAACAGAAUAAUCAGGCAAUGCCAUGUAACAUGUCAUGUGUACCUCAUGCUGACAUAUAAAGAUUAAUUUUUAAUAACAAAAAUGGAUAGAAUUUUCAACAGAAAGACCAAUUUGCUCUUUGAUUUAAUGUACAAUGACUAAUUUACUCAUUUUUAAUUAAAAAAGAUAAAAUACAAUAUAAUACUUAAUACACAAAUUUUUAUAAUACUUUUACUUGAUAUACCACAUGCAAAAAUUUCAUUGGUGAGGCUUAGUCACAUAAAAUUUGAGUUCACAUUCAACUACCAGCUUUGGUUUUUUUUUUUUUUCUUACAAAAACGUGUAACCAUUUGAGUUUGACUUGCGGUGACCAACCAGAUUUAUUAAUCUAUUUUAAGUAUUGUUAGUUGAUUAUGAUCUUUUUCUUGUCUUGGGCUACUUACUAAUCAGAGAUUUAUUUUGGUUUUUAUAAUUUUUUUAAAAUUUAAUUUUAGUCUUGAGUACAAGUAUAUAAAAUAUAGUAAAUAAUAGUUUGAUCGUCAAAGUCUUUUUUAUUUUUUUUCUCCUUCAAAGUUUUAUUAUUAUUAUGCUUUAUAAUAUCUGUAAUUUAUUAUUGACAAUAAAUAUUUUACAUAUUUUAGUGCUCCUUAAUUUUAUAAUAAGUUAAAUGCUUUUGUAUACAUUUUGGGUAUUUACUAUUAAAGGGUAAUUUGACUUAGGUUGUUACUUUAACAAUUAACUGAUGAGAAUAUAAAUAGGAGAGGUUGGCAUCUAUAUUUCGGCAAUAUAUGACUGAGAUAAAGCAGGAAAAUUAGCAUACCUGUUGAAUCUGUCUACCUCCACCAAAAUAGGAUGGAAACUUCUUAAAGAAGGGAGUCUAGUGAUAAAAUCUAACGAAAUAUCCUCCCAAAUUUUCUCAGGAAAUAGCAGAGGUUGCAUGGGGCUUGCUGGUACAAGUUUCUAAUGUUUGCUCUGUUAACAAAUUAAGUAGUUCUAAACAAAGAUGUAAGAUUAUACUAAUUGUAAUUAGCACAUAAAAUUAUGGCAAAAUAAAUAAAAGAAUUAGAAAAUAUAUCAAAUCAUUGUUGGAGUGGUUGAAUAUAUGUUGGGAUCUAGUGUGUUUAUGUCUCGUUUGGUUACUAAUGUAAUAACAUGAUGAAAAAUUUUAUUUAUUAUCUAUGUAUUACAAUUGUUACGUAUAAAAUAAAUAAUAGUUAAUACAAAUUAAAUUAGAAUUUAAAAAGAUGAGUAAUAAUUUUUGUAAAAAAUAAGCGAAAAUUUUUAUUCUCUUUGCUAAAAAUAAGUCAUGAGAGUGGUUAAAUGUUUCUAAUUAAAUUAGUUUAUUGUUAACCCCUAUACUAAAACAUGUGUAAAAAAUAAUGCUCCUACCAAAUGUAGCAUUAGUGUAGUGGUUACGUUUGUGUGCUUGUAAUUUCUAGAACAAGUUGGUUUAAUAAAGCUCCAUUGUUAUCAUUAAUAUCUUUUGUAUAUUGUCAUCAAUGGUUUUUUAACAUUUAAAUAAUGAUAAGUUGCAUUAUGUGGUAGAAUUAUAAUGCGAGAAGACAAUUUAUGUUAGUAGAUAAUCUAAGCAAUCCUUAGUCUAAUUGAAAUUGAGUUCGUUGAUUGAAAGACAAAUAUGUCAUCUAUCAAGUCCAAUUAGAGAGAUAUCACGUCUUGGGUAUUAGAGCGGAUAACUCUCAAAAAAUAAGGACAUAGGGUGAAUCGUAGGCCUGUUUAUGGAUUUAUUCACUUGUGAUAUUAAUAGUAUGAUUUACCUCAAUCUUAAGAAGUGAUGAACUAUGUGUGUGUAGCUCAUAUAUUUUAAUAUAUUGAUAUCUUAAAUUCAAUUAGCAAUAGAGUCAGACUUUAGAUAUUCAUCUUGUUGGAAAUAUUAGAUCGGGUUCACCCAUAAUGGGUUCAAACUUAAUAUUAUUAGAAAACAGUUACACUUAGAGAAAACUAUCAUUGGUAGUAUAUAUAUAUAAGGAAGUUUCCUUCCAAAGAAAAACUGCCCAAUAGUAAUAAUAAUAGUAAUAAUAACAAGCCAUGCAGCUUUUACAUAGACAUUCUGUCAUAUGAAAAUUGUAUUUUCAAAAUGACAUUUUAUCAUUAUUUGUUUUUAAAUGGCUUUCCACAGCCAUCAAGUAUUAAUGAUAUUUCCCCAUUGAUUUAAUAUAAAGAGAAAUAAGUUUUUUUUAGAUAAUGCAAUACUUGAAUAUUUCUACAUUAUAAAAAAUUUAGGUUGUGAAAUUGUAAACAAUUUUCUUCAUGUGAUCUUGUCCUUCACCAGUAUGGUAUCAAACGAUCUUGUAAAUUCAUUAAAUUAAUUCUGCAUUUAUUUUUGUGUAAUAAAUCAUUAGACGUAAUAAUAUUUAUUGGUAUCAAAGCUUUUAAGUUUCGAUUUUCGAUCUAGUCCAAAUUUUUAUGAAAAUAUUAAAAUCCAUCUAGAUAUGUUUGAAUCCGUAAAUAAUUAUACAAAUGUAUAGAUACUAUAUACAAUUUUGGAUUUGUUGAAUCCUAUAAUUUGAUUUUAAAAAUUGUGAUUCUUCUUAAAAAAUGAAAUUAUAAUAACAUUACGGUUUACUUUCAAAAAGAAAUCAAACACUAUCUUUUUUUUUUAUGUAUAUUAAUGGUGGAAAGUUAUAUCUUUUAACCACAUUUUUUAUUUUAUAUUUUUUUAACUUCUCGAGAGAAGUAUAUAUUUUCAAAUUUUGAAAAAUAAAAUAAAAUUUAGUCAUUUUUUUUCACUUUGAUUAUUUGUUUUCGAGAGCUCUUGUGACAAAUACUGAAAAUUAUUUUGGGCUUCAAAUGGUCAUAAAGAUUAUGAUACAAUUUCUAAGAUUUGGUAGUUUCUUACGACUAAAUAAUUCCGAGAUGGAUCCAAAUUAUGAUGUUACCGUAGCAUCAUAGCCGUAAAAGUAAAAUCCAAAAUUUAUUUUGGAGUGACGUUCUAACAAUAAGAAGUGGUCGUAACAAAUAUAUAGUGUUACACAAUAUACAUCUUAUCCAAGCACGCAAAAAAGAUUUUAUAUUUUUUUAAUAUCUAGGUAAAGAAUGGUCAUGAACACGUCUCUAUGUGCGGGCAUCAAAGUUAUGGAUCAACACAAUUAUCUCUAAAUAUCUAGUGCUAUAUUAUAAGUGUGAUAGGUGAGUUGUAAUAUUUGUAAGUAUCUCAAUGGAACAUUUUAAAUAUUCAAAGAAUCGAACCCAAGAGUAUUCGAAGAUAAAGUGAUUCAUAACCAACAAGCAUGUAAAUAGGAAGUCUAAUUAACUACAAUAUUACGACAAUUUUGGCCUAAGUAUCAAGUUUAGAUUUGGAUUUACAUCAAACGGAUGUAAAAACUACCUUUCUAAAUGAAAAUAUGGAAGAGGAAACCUACAUGGAACAAGUACUAGAUUCGUUGACAAAGGUCAAGCGAACAAUGUGCGCAAGAUAUUAAAAUUAAUUUCUGAUUUUAAGUGAUCUUCAAAAUAGUGGUAUAUCAUUUUUAUCAAGAUAUCAUUUAGUUUGAUCAAGACCACUUUAUACAUUCAAAAAAGAUGAAAAAGACAAAUUUGUAACCUUGUCAUUUUAUGUAGAUAACACGUUGUUGGCCUCAAAUGAUUUAGAGCAUAUCAUUUUAUGUUAUGCAAGACUACAAGUCAAUUCAUACUCCUAUUAGAAAAGGUAAAGCUUUGAGUAAUAGAAUGUUUCUUUAAACUCUAUAUGAAAAGUAAGAGUUCUUUAUUCUAAUAUUUUGAGUAGGAUCAUUUAUGUUAUGAUACACAUAAGGCAAAAUAUCUCUUACAUAGUUGGAUUCAAGAGAAUCCAAUCUAAUCCCCAUUGAAAAACGAUGGUAAUUAUAUUGAAGUAUUUAAAAGGCACUGUAAACUUUUGUCAUGAUAUCAAAAAAGUGGUUUGUAUCUAAUUGGGUAUACAAACAUCUAUUGAAAAGCAAAUUGAGAUAAAAUGAAAUCUAUCUCCAGAUAUAUGUUCUUCCGUAAUAAUGGAGUGAUCUCCAUGAAUAGUAAGAAAUAUGCUUGUAUAACAUUGUCCACUAUGGAUGGUGAAUUUGUGGCAUUUUUAGUGAUGAUAUAUAAGUGUUUGGCCUAAAUGGUUUUGUUUUUGAAUUAUUUGGGACCUAAUAAAGAUACAUCAUAAUGAUAGUGAAAUGCAAUUUCAAGUUUCAAUCACAUUCAUGAGGAAUCCCAUAUAAUUUCAAGGACUAAACACAUAGAUACAAAGAAUAAUUAUAUAACACCCUAUAUCUGGUCCAGUCACCUGACCUGAGCUGUAAGAUAUUACAACUAUAAAACUUUGACAUUGUUCACAAUUUAAAUAAAAUAAAAUAAAUAACCAAAUAUUUCAUUAUCAAUCAUUUUUCAUGUUAUUCAAUCAAAAUGGGACUUAAUUCGAGCUUACGGAACAUUUAAAACAAACCAGGGACAAUUCUGAAUUAAAAUGAAUUUUUCACAAAAAUUUGAGUAAAAAGUGAAAACAGGGGUCACAAGCCAUGUCGUGUGACAGAGCUUAGCCUAUGUCGCUCAAAAAACAUGACCAUGUGGCCAAACUGUGUAACAAGCUAUGCCCGUGUACACGGCCAUGUGGCAGACCAUGUCACAGACUGUGUGAGGCACACGGCUGUGUGGCAGACCAUGUGGUAGAUCGUGUCACAAGUUGUGUGUACCCAAAAUACUUUCAAAUUCAAGCCAUUUCACCUACACAACCCUAAACUCUAAACCAAAAUAUGCCAAUUCACAUUCAACCUAUGUGUCUAACCAAUAUGCCCUCAUUGACACCAUAAUUAAAGUAUAAACAACAACUAUCCAAACCAUGACAUAAUCAACAUGUCAACCUUAUUCAAUCCUCAAUUAAGUCGCAAAUAACUUAUGCCAUAAUCAACCAUUUAUAACCAACUUACAAACACAAAUAUACUUCAACCCAAGUUCAUAAGUUACCAAAACAAAGUGGUUAUUUCAAUAACAAUUCUUCAAGAAAGACAUCAAUUGAUAAACUAUCAUUUCAAGAUACCAAAACACAAAAUACAAAUUUACAUUCCAAAUGACACAAGUCAUCACCAAGUUUUUUUAAUAACAUAAGCAUAUUGAAACCCUAUUUACAUGCCACUUAUAACCGGCCAAAAUAAACAAAUAGCUACAAAAUGAGUUGUCGGAUAGUGUGAUAUCCAAUGACAUUCCAAUUGAUAGCAAAAGUCCGACAAUCUACAAAGAAGUAAAACCAAAUAAAGUAAGCUUACAUAAAGCUUAGUAAGUCCGUAAAAACAAAACAUCACAUACCUAUAAAUUUAAUUACAAAUCAUACAUAACAUUAAACUAACACUACAGCAAAACAGGUUUUUAACGGUGAUUUUUUGGCCCUAUAGCGGCACUUAUAAGCACCGCAAAAAACGUGGCUUUAGAUAGUGCAGCUCAAAAUUGCGGCAUUUAUGUAGUAAAACGCUGCAAUAGAGUCGAGCAUGUUGUGGCGUUUGUAGCUAUAAGCGCCACAAAAGAUCAAGUUCUUUAACAGCAUUUGUAGUAAAAGUGCCGCUAAAGAUCAUGUUCUAUAGCGACAUUUGUGGGAAAACUUCACUAACAUUAACAUAAUUUACCAACCCAUUUUAUUUCAUAUAAAACCUGAAUUUUCAACAUAUUUUCCUAUAACUUCAAAUCCAACAACAAACUUCAAAUCUAAAUUGUCGAAACUAUUUUUUAGAGUUUUAAAAAAACGGGGAUCGACUUUUAAAUAACAUGUGGAGUCGCCAUCAAUCUCUUUACUUAUGUGGGAUUGGGUCACCUACUAAAAUGUUUUGUUCCACUUGAAACAAUUUUGUAAAAUUUUUAAAAAAUGGGUUCGGGAGUCGAUUACGCAUGAGGAAGGGUGAGCACUCUCAUUAUGCCCAAAAAUUGGUACCAGAUUGAUUCAAUGCUAUCCUUAUAUCAAAGAUUUUAAAAAGGAUCUUUCAAAGUAUGGUUCUUUUAAAAAUGUUUGAGUAGUUCAAGUUAGCUGUCAAAAUUCUCUCGUUUCAAAGAUAUGCAGCAUCAUAUCCAGCACGAUUGGACACGAUCCUUUAUACCUUCAAAAAUACGAUUGAUUUUUAACUUUCAAAAGCUCGUACAUUAAAAUUAUAAAAGGAUAUCCAAAUAUUUAAUUCAACGAAAAAUCAUACCCAGCACGGUAGGGCACAAUUUCCCGAAUUCCCAAAUAUUGAAUACUGCCUUAUUUCAGAACUUUUGAAUAAUAAGGAAAAUGGGAAAUUAGCUCAAAACGAUUUAAUUUUUCUUGAAAUAAAAACGAGACAAGUAAUAUCAAUCAAAAUAUUAAAAUUUGAAUCACGAUGCAAUAAUAUAGAAAAAUCAAAGUUACAAACAUGGAUUACUAUACGAAAUAUUAUACAAGUAAACAAAAAGAACAAAUUAACAUGCACACAAUAGCAAUGAGCUCGCAUCCAAGAAACUAAUUAGAAAGAAAUAUAACAAGUUUCGGAUAUAGAUGGACAAAAAUUUAAAUAAUAGUGCAAAAGGCUAAUAAUCAAUAAAAAACGAUAAUACAUGAAACAAUAUGAAAACUAAAGCGACACAUAGCAUACAAAACAAUUUGGAAAUAAUUUGAAAACUAUUAAAUAUAUGAAAAUUUACAAAAUGAACAACACAUGAUUUGGUUUGAAAUAAUGUACAUAUAUAAAAAUAAAACUAAGAAUAUGUAAAUGAGUAUUAAAAUAAAUAUUGUGAAAGAAGAAAUUUGGAGCCAAGAACAUAAAAAAACAAAUCUAUUUAAAGGUGAUAAUGUACGUGCAAUAAUAGAAAAAAUCAAUGUACACAAUAUAUAAUGGAAAUAUAAUAAAAUAAAUGAUAAACAAUAUACAUGAAAAAAUAACAAACCAAUAUAUAAUAAAACAAUAUAUACAUGUAAGGAUCUUAAAUAACAAAGAAAUAAAAAAAUAUGUCUUCUAAAGAAUAAGCUAUAUACAUAAUAAACAGAUUUAAAAGCAAUUAUAUAAAAUAACAUGGAAUUAAUCAAUGUAUAUAAAAUAAAACCAAUUUUAAUAUAAACUAAAUAUAUUAAUAAUAUAUAUAAGGGUAGUUAAAUUAAAUAUUAUACAAAAUUUUGAAACAAUAUAAUAUAUAAAAGGUAAUUUUAAAAUAAUAAUUUUGUAAUAAAAACAAAAUAAUUUAAAAUGUAUAAAAAUAAGAGAUGAAAAAAUGAAUUAUACAAACUAAAAUGGAAAAAACUUAAUUGAAAUAAAAAUCAAACUAGAGGGAUAAUUAAUAAAAUAAAAAAAACUAUUGAAAUUGAAAUAAUGACUGAAGCGCAAUGCGCACGAAUGUCCAGGGAUUAAAACUGAAAAUAUUUCAGAUCCCAAAACAUGGCGUUUAGGCGUGGAUUAAAUUGCAAAUACGCGCAAAUUCUAUGACAAAUUUGAAAUGAAGUAAAGUGGAAAUAAGGUCUGCGCGAAGACGAAGGGUGCAAUUUGACCAUUCGAAGUAAAAGGGCGCGGAUCUGGGCCACAAAACGGGUCGGCGCGUAGAUCUUCUUCCUCCAGACGGUACCGUUUCAUGUUCUGCACAAAACAAGGUAAAAACCCUAAAACUAAUAAAAGCAAAUCAAAAUAAAACAAAAACUAAGGUCUAUCCCUUAUUCAUUCGGCCGGAAACUGGAAACUUCACAACCGCUAUUUCGUCUCCAUAUUCAACAGACGGCGUCAGACAAAAGCUUAAUCUGGCCCUAUUUGACCGCAAAUCCACGAGUUUUUCUAGGCUUUAACUUCAAUCCUCAUCUAGGCUUCGAUUACCAUGAAACAAACAAGGAUUUUGAAGCUUCCAAAAAAAGUUAAGUCUCUCCCUUUUACUUAUUUUUUUGCUUUCAUACGUAGUAACAAAGCUUUAAAAAAAAUAGGAGCUGAAUCGAAAAGAAAAUAAAAUCUAAAUCACCUUUUGAAAAACUACUCUCGAGAUGAUUUCUUAUUCAAACUUUUGUAGAUUUGUACUUGUAAAAUAUGUGUGUGUAUUUCUAGAAAAAACCAACCCGAUUUACAUCAUUUUUAUUCGGUUUUAUAGCCGAAAAAAUAAAAUAAAUAAAAGAAAAAAAUACAGAUUAAAAUACAAUUUCAUUGCUGUCAUUUGCUGUUAUUUGUUGUCCACUGCUCCCUUGCUUGUUAGUCUAUUGCAGGUGUGUAUGGCGUGGAGAAACCGUUCGUGGGCGUGAAACGUGGCGCACGUGGCUGAGGCAAUGGCGCGCGUGAAAGCUGGCACCAAGGCAGCAGCGACGCAAGGGGAAAAGGGAACCCUAGGGUUCUGAAAAUAUCAAACUUUCGGGCCCUAGCUGGUUUUUCAUUGGGCCAUUAUAAUUUGAUUUGUGUUUUGGGCUAGGGUAUUAAUUUGGGUAUUGGGUUAGUGAUUUGAAUUUAAUGUUUGGGUUUGGUUUGGUUUAAGACUGAAGAUUUGUAAACGAACAUUGGACUUUUAUUUUUUAUUAUUUUGGUUUUUAAUUUAUGUUUCUGGGUUUAUUGCGGGCCGAGCAAAAAUGGGCCAUUACAUAAAUGAUACUAUCACAAAAGAAAUAUGUAUAUGAUCUAAAUUAAUAACUGAAAUAACAAAAUAUGAUCAAAAGUUAUAUUGUUAAGAUAUUCUUAAAAUAUAAUCAAAAGUUAUAUUGUUAAGAUAUCCUCACAAUAAGAAAAAAAAAUCUAAGAUGAUGGAUUAUGCGAUUGAUUCUGCUGAAACAUCUUCAUUAUAUUUUAAAGUUGUAGUUGGAGUUUGUCAUAUUUUCUUGUUGCCUCUGCUACCCUUACUACUGCUUCUGCUUCCCUCACUACUACCUCCGUUUUUAAGUUGUAACUGGAGUUCAUCAUAUUUUCUUUUAGC
RNAcentral lists this long non-coding RNA (33341 nucleotides) under Gossypium barbadense (sea-island cotton). RNAcentral describes it as "long non-coding RNA (GBAR_LNC006607)". The stretch from base 24475 to 24618 matches the Rfam family "MIR7502 microRNA precursor family". The record is from RNAcentral. Lineage: Eukaryota; Viridiplantae; Streptophyta; Magnoliopsida; Malvales; Malvaceae.